Molecule: ribosomal RNA, 567 nt
Filed under: uncultured bacterium
Lineage: Bacteria
Description: partial 16S ribosomal RNA
Rfam family: Bacterial small subunit ribosomal RNA
Source: RNAcentral
UGGGGAAUUUUGGACAAUGGGGGAAACCCUGAUCCAGCCAUCCCGCGUGUGCGAUGAAGGCCUUCGGGUUGUAAAGCACUUUUGGCAGGAAAGAAACGUCGCGGGUUAAUACCCCGCGAAACUGACGGUACCUGCAGAAUAAGCACCGGCUAACUACGUGCCAGCAGCCGCGGUAAUACGUAGGGUGCAAGCGUUAAUCGGAAUUACUGGGCGUAAAGCGUGCGCAGGCGGUUCGGAAAGAAAGAUGUGAAAUCCCAGAGCUUAACUUUGGAACUGCAUUUUUAACUACCGGGCUAGAGUGUGUCAGAGGGAGGUGGAAUUCCGCGUGUAGCAGUGAAAUGCGUAGAUAUGCGGAGGAACACCGAUGGCGAAGGCAGCCUCCUGGGAUAACACUGACGCUCAUGCACGAAAGCGUGGGGAGCAAACAGGAUUAGAUACCCUGGUAGUCCACGCCCUAAACGAUGUCAACUAGCUGUUGGGGCCUUCGGGCCUUGGUAGCGCAGCUAACGCGUGAAGUUGACCGCCUGGGGAGUACGGUCGCAAGAUUAAAACUUAAAUGAAUAUGAC